CAGUCGCCGCGGUAAUACGUAGGUGGCAAGCGUUGUCCGGAAUUAUUGGGCGUAAAGCGCGCGCAGGUGGUUUAAUAAGUCUGAUGUGAAAGCCCACGGCUCAACCGUGGAGGGUCAUUGGAAACUGUUAAACUUGAGUGCAGGAGAGGAGAGUGGAAUUCCACGUGUAGCGGUGAAAUGCGUAGAGAUGUGGAGGAACACCAGUGGCGAAGGCGACUCUCUGGUCUGUAACUGACGCUGAGGAGCGAAAGCGUGGGGAGCGAACAGGAUUAGAUACCCGUGUAGUCCCUGUCUCUUAUAC
Molecule: ribosomal RNA, 301 nt
Filed under: uncultured bacterium
Lineage: Bacteria
Description: partial 16S ribosomal RNA
Rfam family: Bacterial small subunit ribosomal RNA
Source: RNAcentral